CACAGUCUCAUAACCGAAAGUCUGGAAGCCCAGGCCGCUCUCCGCCUUCUGCCUACCUCAUUGCCUUCUGUCACCAGAUUCCCCUCCGAACCCCUCUCCGACUCCAUUGAUUCCCGUCCGAUUCCCCUCGAUUCGGCUGCAUCUACCUUCUUGCAGUCCGUCGAGGGGGUCGGAUCUCUUCGGCCAGUGCUGAUCUCGACCUCCUCGAGUCCAUGGCCUUCGGCACUGUCUCGUUCGAAGAGCUCCUCGGCCACUGCAACGAGGUAUUCAAGAACAACCAGAGAUGCAUCGUCGACCUUGAGAAGCGGAUGCAGAGCUUAGGUUACGUCACUAGUGAGCACCGAGCCACUGACGCGAAUUCCUAGAGUCAUCGUUUGCUUUUCUGCUACUCUGAUUUGUGUUGUUGCGCAGAGGUGGAGUUGGAAGAUGAGGAGAUUUUGGACGAUUCGAAGUUUACGAGCCCCGUGAGUGGGUUUCAGAGACCUUUCUUUGAAUUUGUCUCAGUUAGUUUCUGUUGUUCAGUUGAGCAAGAGGAGGCCAGAAGAGUAUAUCUUUUUAUUCAGAUUGACAUGCAAUUUAGAAAUAGAAAACCGAUUCAAAUCGGUUGAAUCACGAGUAGAAGGUUAGGGGAUUCCUUCUGUAAGCUUGCAAGUUCUUGCUCUCACAUUUAACUUGAUCCUGUAAUAAACUAUCUGAGACAACUUUGCCUGGAUAUCCAAAACUUGCCCUGCAUGCUACAGAUUCAUACACAAUGAUGAAAUGUCAGUUGCCAGAAAUGCUGCCAAAGCAAUAGUGCAUGCAUCUAAAGAGGACUACAAUGACCUGCCGGAGUUGCAGGAAGCUGCGGUGAAGAUCAACUCUUUCCUCCCUAUACAUGAGCAAAAUGAUGUCUUUAGGCAAGAUGAGCUUGAAAAAAUGGUGCUCGGUCUACCCAAGUUUAGAAAUGUGGAAGAGAUGAGGUUGUUUCACCAAUGAAGAGCAAUGGCGAUGAGCAGCGCCGCCUCUGUCUUUUCAAAGUCCCCCAGGUUGAUCGUUUCACACUGGUUGGUGUGAUUCGGGUGUGCCUGGAGAAUGCAUGAGUUCUCCUCCCUCUCUCGCUACGCAGUACAUGAGCCCGUGGAUGUCUCCUUCCUCGCUGAGAUAGCUCACAUCUCCCUUGCUUCAGGAGGGGUGCCAAUCUUCCUACAUGAUGUUUUUGAACCCUCUUACUCGAUACCAAUGAGAGAGUGGCAAAGUGGAAGUGGAAGCGCGGAAUUAGAAAAUUAGGAAAUUGAUAAGUUUGCACCUUACAAGCUACCUCAAGUAAGAUUUGAGUGAAUGCCCCCUAUCUUGCAAGAGGUUCAAUUCUUAUAACAAACGUCGGGUGCGCCUUGGGCCCCAUCGUCACGUUUGUUGAUAAGAAAUCAACAGUACAGACUCCAUUUUACAACUAGUAGAGCAUCUACUUUAGAAAAGUAGUGCAAAUUCAACUUUA
Molecule: RNA transcript, 1474 nt
Organism: Zingiber officinale
Lineage: Eukaryota; Viridiplantae; Streptophyta; Magnoliopsida; Zingiberales; Zingiberaceae
Exons: 7
Source: RefSeq, a predicted model, not a curated record